AGAGUUUGAUCAUGGCUCAGGACGAACGCUGGCGGCGUGCUUAACACAUGCAAGUCGAGCGGAAAGGCUCCUUCGGGGGUACUCGAGCGGCGAACGGGUGAGUAACACGUGAGUAAUCUGCCCCUGGCUUUGGGAUAGCCACCGGAAACGGUGAUUAAUACCGGAUAUGACCACUUCUCGCAUGGGUUGUGGUGGAAAGUUUUUCGGCCAGGGAUGUGCUCGCGGCCUAUCAGCUUGAUGGUGAGGUAAUGGCUCACCAUGGCUUCGACGGGUAGCCGGCCUGAGAGGGUGACCGGUCACACUGGGACUGAGACACGGCCCAGACUCCUACGGGAGGCAGCAGUGGGGAAUAUUGGACAAUGGGCGGAAGCCUGAUCCAGCAACGCCGCGUGAGGGAUGACGGCCUUCGGGUUGUAAACCUCUUUCACCCAUGACGAAGCGCAAGUGACGGUAGUGGGAGAAGAAGCACCGGCCAACUACGUGCCAGCAGCCGCGGUAAUACGUAGGGUGCGAGCGUUGUCCGGAAUUAUUGGGCGUAAAGGGCUCGUAGGCGGUUUGUCGCGUCGGGAGUGAAAACCAGGUGCUUAACACCUGGCUUGCUUUCGAUACGGGCAGACUAGAGGUAUUCAGGGGAGAACGGAAUUCCUGGUGUAGCGGUGAAAUGCGCAGAUAUCAGGAGGAACACCGGUGGCGAAGGCGGUUCUCUGGGAAUGACCUGACGCUGAGGAGCGAAAGUGUGGGGAGCGAACAGGAUUAGAUACCCUGGUAGUCCACACCGU
Molecule: ribosomal RNA, 779 nt
Filed under: uncultured bacterium
Lineage: Bacteria
Description: bacterial SSU rRNA
Rfam family: Bacterial small subunit ribosomal RNA
Source: RNAcentral